This 468-nucleotide ribosomal RNA is filed under the name uncultured bacterium. RNAcentral's name for it is "partial 16S ribosomal RNA". It matches the Rfam family "Bacterial small subunit ribosomal RNA", at positions 28 to 507 of the family's 1533-position model. The record is from RNAcentral.
GACGAACGUUGGAGGCGUGCUUAACACAUGCAAGUCGAACGGAAAGGCCCUGCUUUUGUGGGGUGCUCGAGUGGCGAACGGGUGAGUAACACGUGAGUAACCUGCCCUUGACUUUGGGAUAACUUCAGGAAACUGGGGCUAAUACCGGAUAGGAGCUCCUGCUGCAUGGUGGGGGUUGGAAAGUUUCGGCGGUUGGGGAUGGACUCGCGGCUUAUCAGCUUGUUGGUGGGGUAGUGGCUUACCAAGGCUUUGACGGGUAGCCGGCCUGAGAGGGUGACCGGCCACAUUGGGACUGAGAUACGGCCCAGACUCCUACGGGAGGCAGCAGUGGGGAAUAUUGCACAAUGGGCGGAAGCCUGAUGCAGCAACGCCGCGUGCGGGAUGACGGCCUUCGGGUUGUAAACCGCUUUCGCCUGUGACGAAGCGUGAGUGACGGUAAUGGGUAAAGAAGCACCGGCUAACUACGUG